This 657-nucleotide long non-coding RNA is filed under the name Leguminivora glycinivorella. RNAcentral's name for it is "uncharacterized LOC125238835, transcript variant X1". Lineage: Eukaryota; Metazoa; Arthropoda; Insecta; Lepidoptera; Tortricidae. The record is from RNAcentral.
UACAACCUAUUUAAAACGUUGUUGAUGUGCCGAUGUCAAAAAACCUUAUUCAUAAACGCACAUUAACGCUAAACAGUGCAUCAUCUCUUGUGUAAAUCCUCGAAAUUUUAAAAUGAGCCCGACCCCAGUUUAACGGGAUUUUAGCGCUAUAAUACAAGAUGGCCGCCUCACAUCAGCUGGCUUUUGACAGCAACUCAUGAACUGAUAUGAACCCUCUGAGACGAGUGUUUGUUGCCUGUUCUUACAUUUUCUCAGAAAAAUGUAUUAUGUUUAAUUAAAUUGACAAGCUAAAAUUAUUAUGAAGUGGCGCAAAACCAAAAUAAUAUGUGUUGUGUGCAAUGCGGUCUACUUAUAUACCUAAAUUGAAGGAGGUAACUGACUUUUGAUCGUGUCAAAGAAAAAGUGCAUAUAUAUAGGGAAAUAUUUCAGAGGCGAGGUGGUAGAAAUAGGUAAAAAUGUUGUCUGGCAGUAAUGAAACUUUUAAUGAAGCGAUGACCUAUGCUGGCAUGUUACUGGAAAAGUUGUGUCUAAUUUGGCCAUCAAGUGAAGAAAAGUCAUCACAGUUUGCUGCCUCCCUCUGCUGGCUCGGUCCCAAGCUGAAGAUGGAAUUGUCAGAAUCUGAAAAAGACACAUCAGACAUAAAUAAAAUAGUUUUAA